UCCCCUCUUUUAAAAAAAUUUUUUUUUUAGCCAGUAAUUAUUGCAGGAGUAUUAUCCUGGGCUCUUUUAGGUACAUGAACCAAAGGGUCCUCUGAAGAACAUUGCCUCCAUGCUGGAAUUCUCCUAUCUUCUCACUUUUAUCAACAGCAUCACAAACCAGUCCCUCCAUCAAUCAUUUUUUUGACAGAUCAGCACGAGUUUAAUCCUAAUGAGAGCACCCGAGAACUAGCAAGAUGGGGCUGUCCAGAGGCCCGCCCUGGCUCCUCUGAAGACUUUGGCUGAGUAAAUACAAUCUGAAAGGGCUGGGGAGCUUGAAAGCAAAACUGUAAACGAUCCCAUCUGUGAUUCUUGGCUGAUUAUUCCUCUGGGGUAGACCAAAGAGGGGAAAACUAGAAGAGAGGGUCUCUUUUUGCUUUAAACAAAAUAUGGCUACAAUUCUGCAUCUUCCUUGUUCAGGGCAUUUUCCAAGGGAAAGUUCAUUAGGGAGACUCGGAAGCACGUUCCACUAAUAUCCAUCAAAGAGGAGUUCAGUUUCAAAGAGCAGGAGAAAUACAAUAGCAUUGAAGCAAACUACGUGACAAAGGUCUGGUGCUCCUGAGAAGCACAGGACAAGUGAGAAUGGUUUUGGAUUUUUACCAAGGUCCAUAGCCAGUUGCGAUCUCAGCAGUCAGCUUCUCCCCAUCCCUCUACCCAGCUAUGAAUGUUUCUUCAGAACCUUCAUGUUUCAGAGCUUGGGAUCUCAAAGCCUAGAUAAGAAAUCCUGAAUCAUCCUGUCAGUCAACUCAAGGAGAGCCAGAAUUGGGAGGAAAGAAAAAACUCCCAAGAAGCAACAUUAAUGAAGAGAUUUUUAUCUCCUCUUCUUGGAUGGCCUGAUGCAUUUUCUUAAACCCUGUUCCUUUAAAAGAGGAGAACUGAAGAGUCAGAUCAACUGCUCUAGGACCUUGACCCAGGCCUACUCUAUUUGGGCUCUGGGAGAGGCACUGACGAUGCUCCAGACCCUGGAUGAGGAUGGAAGCUAGUGGGUACAGACAGGAUCUCAUCAAUCACAGGAAUUCAGAUUUGACAAACUUAUUUCCAUAUCGGCUAAGGCUAAAAUCCACUGAAAAAUGAGAUCUGAGACUCACUGAUGUCAAAAUGGGGGGACACUAUCCCCAGUACCACCAUCUGGUUUGGGGUCUCAGCUCUUUCUUUCUCCUUCUAUGAGCACCGGGGUAGAUCUCUUCACCUCUCUGGCUCUCAGUUUCCUGUGCAUACACUGGUGAGAAUAUUGUGAAGAUCCUUUCCAAACUGCAAAUGAAUCUGUGCUGUUCCAAAGCAUCUAGUCAAUAAUAUCUUCCAGGGGCUGAAGAGCCCUGGGUGGCUAAAGUAACGGGGCUCCUGGUGCAGUAUCUCCUGUCUACUCACUACCGUACUCAGGAGGUGAUGUGGCUGUGCUAGGUCCUUCUCGUUCCUCAUGGUGGCAGGCACAAUGGAUUGGACAUGCCACUGCUGUGGCUUGGUGGCUCAGCUUUCCUGGCCAGGAAUGUGCAGGGUGCAUCCAAGUGCUGUGUCUUCCAUCAGUCCCACCUCUGAGGAGGCAGCAGAGGAAGAAACUAGGGAGGGACACAUCACUCUCCAGGACAACCAGGGCCAAUGGGGGUGGGAGAAAAUGAGGGUAGUAGGAAGAGGGGUCACUUGUAAAAUAGCAGGCCACCAGCUAAGUGAGACCUGCUGAGGGAUGAGCAUUACUCAGAGGGCAGGUCCAGUUCCCAUUCUAGGCCCAAAAUAAACUCCCCAAGCCCUGUUGUAGUUGGCUAAUGGCAAUCCCCAAACCACAGGCUCCAGAGAAACGAGGCAGCGCUCCAGGAGAAGCCACCCACGGGAAAGGAGAGGACGGAGGGAGAAGGCCUGGCCCAGGGUCCUGCAUGAGUGGGGCUGAAUGCUUCAGAUGGAGGUGGAGUGCACCCCCCAGUUUUCAAGCUUCAGUGCUAAGACCUGAAGUGGAAUCCAACGCACUGCAUAGCUGCUCACGUGGGCAGGGAGCUGAGAUCACCCUCCUCAGGCAGCCUCAAGACCAUCAAAGAAGUCAUGGGGUCAUUUGGAAGCUCUUCCUUCUGGGGUUUUCAAGCUUAGAGAGACCGGAACACCACUUGGGAGACGUGGUUUGGAAAGCUCUCCAAAGCUCUGGUCAGAUUGCUGUCUUUCAGCUAAAACACAGGUUUCACCAAGUUCGCUUUCCAAACUCCAUUUGAAACAAUUAUCUUGGCACAUCAUCCUUCCCAUUGCCUUUGGAGAGUUCCCCCAUGCGAUAGCAACAAAAACAGGCCCCCAUAUCCUGUGAGGGGCUGCAGGGAGAGAGAAAGCCCCAGUAAGUCAAGAUGGGUGAAUAGCUGAGGGAUUCACAAGCAGGAGCUGCACUGACAAGGACCCCAGGAGGUCACCACAGAAGGAGAGAAAACACCACCGAAGAAUGUAAGCUGGACAUCUUCCCAACACAAAAUCAGAACGGGACCUUGAUGUAUCGCUCACUCAAGCCCUUUCCCUGGGGUGGGAUCAUACUCAAAUCUUUGGUAUACUUGAAAAAUAGUCCUUGAAAGCACACACACACACACACACACACACACACACACACACACUAUGCUUUGUAUUUGUUUGUGAUAACGCAACCUCAUCCCUCAUCCCUGUCCCAGUAGCUCACUGCAAUUAGGCAUUUGCCCUGCUGACUUAGAGACCCAGCAAAAGGGACUCUUGAGAAGGAAAGAGGAAUUCCACACUGGUGAGGUUAGGGCUGCAGUCCUUAAAGGGAGAUUUUUUCUUUUUUUUUUUUUUUUGAAAGGGCUGCUCUGAUGCUCAGAGGGAGCUGGCUGAAGGGCUGGGAAGGCCAUUCUCAAGCCCUAAGACUGGAGCGGGCAGGUUUCACCUUCUGAGCAUUCCCAUCCGUCCUGCAUCCACAGCCCAGGGCCCUGGAGGUGCUCUAUUCUCCACCCACUCCUGAAAACCUGCUGCUCUCUGAGGCUACUUCAAAGCCCCCUGGGAAAGCCAAGUCUCCAAUUAAGCCUCUUUGAGGCAGGUUCUCAUUCCUUCCCCACUAAUUGAAAUGUUACUCCUUUUACUAAAACCAUAAACCACCCAAACACAACGGUCUUCCUCAUUUGCAUUGUAACAAUGUCCCUAAUGUGCUUCCAAGAGCUUUAUGUAAAGGCGAACCUUUUCUCCAUCCCUGUAUGAACGGUCAAAAGCAAUUCCGAGGCAAGGGCCUUCAUUUCCAUCCCUAUACAGCUGCUCAUUAGCUAAGGUGGAAUAAAUUCCUUUUAUUCGGGAUUCAUUUCCCAGGAUGACAAUGUCUUUUUUGUCUCAGGCCACUGUUCCCAAACUAGGCCUUAAUUGCUGAUAGUAAUUGAGUUAAUACAUAUUUACCAAGGCUAAGGUUAAAGAAGGUCUCCUGUCGUUUUAUUUGAGACAUUUUAUUUAACCUGCAAUAAAAUCAUUAACGAGU
This is a long non-coding RNA of Ictidomys tridecemlineatus (thirteen-lined ground squirrel), 3475 nucleotides long. RefSeq lists it as uncharacterized. Lineage: Eukaryota; Metazoa; Chordata; Mammalia; Rodentia; Sciuridae. The record is from RefSeq and is a predicted model, not a curated record.